Molecule: long non-coding RNA, 2277 nt
Filed under: Anser cygnoides (Swan goose)
Lineage: Eukaryota; Metazoa; Chordata; Aves; Anseriformes; Anatidae
Description: lncRNA (ENSACDG00005006819.1)
Source: RNAcentral
AGGAGGGAGAGGGAGAGAAAAGUCCCUCACAGUUGUUUUUCCUCAGUUGAUCCCUAUUAAAAGAAACUCUUCAUUGUGGUGUACUCAAGGAAAUACAGCUCAGACGAAAGAGUCACAUGAAUGUUAACAAAUAUGGCUAUUUGUGUGGCUUACGCGCUGCGCCGAGCUUAGUGAUGUUGUGUGUGACACUCAGAGAAUGAAGGAAGCAAUCAUUAGCAUCCCAGCAACCUGCUUAGCCGCCCGCUUUCAUGCUCCCCCUUUUGAUCUGACACUUUUUGCUUCAGUUUUGCUGGGAUUACUGCUGAAGAUGCUAAUAAAGUAUCACACACAUUGUAAGAAGAGCGAUAAGAAAGUCUGCUUGGGCAAAACUUUGGAGUUUCAAGCCAAGUGGGCUUUUGUACUUGUUGCUGGUUUCCCAGUGCAGACCUGGAAAUUAGGGGCGGUUUGCUUAAUUCCUUUUUUUCCUCUCCCCAGAAAAACUCAGGACGGAUGCUGCACGUUCCACGUGCGUCUCCUGCAGGGAUUUAGAGAAGUCUCCAUGAAGCCGAUCACAUCCCAGUUGUUGGAAAUACACCUUCUGCUUAUGUACACCGAAGCAAGGAACCCAUCUGUCUCUCAGCAUCUUUUUUUUUUUUUUUUUUUUUUUUUUUUGUCAUGCUGCUGCCCCCAAAGCACCAGCUGCUGUACCAGUGAGGAGUCACAAGGAAUUAAAACUCAGGAGCAUCUUGUGGUGUUGGUACAUUAUCGGUUUUGGUGGUUAUUUUUGGCUGUUAGUUCCUGCUGUCCUAGGCUCUAUACAAAUGCGUCUUGGCAGGCUCUCCCCUUCCUAAAGAGCUUACAGCCUGGACAAGAACUGGAGGCAUUAAUAGCUUUUGUUUGACUGCUGACAUAUGUUCUGCAUGCUGGCCAAAGUCAGCUGCAUCUCCGUCAUCCUCACCCCGUGCCUCAUCUGGAGGCAGCUGCAAUACCCCAAUGCGCGAUCCCUUCUCUGAAGUGGAUGUGCAAAUGACCACCUUGGUAAUUAUUAAAACACUACCUUCCUCCCUACAAAGUGCUGAGGCUGGUGGGGAAAGCAGGACCAGGACCUCCAUAUGGUGUAUCCCCCACCAGGGUAGUUUUCUGCCAUAUUUUUUUCCCCUGCCAUGUCCUGCAGCAGUGAGUUCCACCAGUGAAGAGCUGACAGGGCAAAAAAUAUUCUCAUUUUCCAGAGGCAAAGAACUGAGGUCUCUCUCUCAUUUCCCUGACAUUUUUUAUCCUCAAUACCUUUGGCACAGCCUUCCCUCUCUCCAAGGUAAGCCUCCCCAAUCCCUCCAUUCUCACUUCUGAUUACUGCCGUGAAUAACAUCUAAUAUUCUUAUCACCCGGCUCCAACCCCCCUAAUGCUGUUGUAGGCUUUUCAAGAGGAAAACCACUACUGCAAACAUUACUGCAGACGAAACUGCAUCUCUGAUGUAUAUAAAGGCAUUAGCCCAUCCUCCCGCCUGGGCUGCCGUGCAUCUUCUGUGCCAUUGCACUGCUGCUGCACAGGGAGCAGAGGUCUCUGCUGAGCUGUCUGCAGUCUCAUUGGAGUUUCUUGCUUCCCCUAAUUUAAAUUAAAACCUGGGAGCGGACAAUUUCAGUGUCUGCUUCGGGUGCAAUGGGAGCUGUUGGAGACCUGGCUCACUGCAGGUGCCUGAAGAAUGCAAGAGGAGGCUGGGCUGGAGCAAAGCCCAGGCUGCACCUCCACCCCAGCUCUAGUACCCGUAUGGCACAUCACGAAGCACUGGCCAUGCCACAUGGACUGCAGUGCACCGACCUUCACAGCUCCUCUGAGAAGAUAAAGCCACCUCAAGGGUCCUCAAGAGGAAAGACAAGCCAGGUCAAUAGCAACUUCAUGGUGGAACCAGCAGAAGAGAUGGGCUGAUGUUCCCACAUGGGGGGAUGUGGGGGAUGAGGAGGCUCAGUUCCCACCUGGUACUUUUCCAAGCCCAACACCCAGAAGCAUACGGUGCAAACACUCCAGCAGCCAGAACAUAGGACUCAACUGGAUGGAGCCUUUGGACCAGUGUACUGCUCUAGACUUAGGGAUAUCAUGUGCCAAAAUGAAACGAGCUGAGUUUUUGGGUGGCAUCAUCGUUAUGGAUGGCCCUGGCCUAUGACCAGUCCUUUGAUAAGGCAUCUGGUGUUGGGCUGUUGUCCUGCUGCUGAACACCCUUCCCAGGGCUGCACUGGUACCUCUGCAAGACCAAGGUGCAAGGCAAGUAAAGAACAAAUAAAGCCACAUUAAUCCCAGCUCCA